Molecule: ribosomal RNA, 404 nt
Filed under: uncultured bacterium
Lineage: Bacteria
Description: bacterial SSU rRNA
Rfam family: Bacterial small subunit ribosomal RNA
Source: RNAcentral
UAGGGAAUAUUGCUUAAUGGGCGAAAGCCUGAAGCAGCAACGCCGCGUGAACGAAGAAGGCCUUCGGGUCGUAAAGUUCUUUUACGUGGGAUGAGGAAGGACAGUACCACGAGAAUAAGUCUCGGCUAACUGCGUGCCAGCAGCCGCGGUAAAACGUAGGAGACGAGCGUUAUCCGGAUUUACUGGGCGUAAAGCGCGUGUAGGAGGCGCUACAAGUUGGAUGUGAAAGCUCCCGGCUUAACUGGGAGAGGUCGUUCAAGACUGUAGAGCUAGAGUGAGGCAGAGGUAGAUGGAACUCCGGGAGUAGUGGUGAAAUGCGUAGAUAUCCGGAAGAACACCAGAGGCGAAAGCGAUCUACUGGACCUAAGCUGACACUGAGACGCGAAAGCCAGGGUAGCAAACGG